UGUGUGUAUGUGCGUACGUGUGAGGGAGAGAUGGAGAGAGAUAGAGAGAAAGAGAGAAGGAGAGAGAAUGAGAAUAAGAGCGUCAGUCUUUGUUCUCUCCUAGCAAGAGAGCUUAACUUUCUGUUGCAAAGAGAUAAGAGAUACCGGAAAAGAAAGAAAGAAAUAGAGAUAGAGGUAGAGAUAGAGGUAGAGAUAGAGAUAGAGAUAGAGAUAGAGAGAGAGGAGGGGGGGAGAGAGAGAGAGAGAGAGAGGAUUGUUAUUAAAGUCGGCAAUUCCCCAGAGUCAGACGGAAAGCCGACUCGUAGUUUCAACUCGACGUCGAGUUUAGAAUUUUCGAUCGAGAAAAUGCAAAUUUCGAUAUAUUAUCACGGAAGAAAUAUAGUAUCGAUGAAUUAUCCAUUGAAUCAUCGUCUAUCGAUCGAGGAGGAUCUAUAAAUUCGUCGUGUAAUUAUCAAUGAUAAUGACAGAUAAAUGAAGUGCGUGAAAUGUCGUGUAUUUUGCCCUAGGUCAAGGUUCCUUAUUUUUAUCGAAGGAGAGAGAAAGAGACAGAGAGAGAGAGAGAGAGAGAGAGAGAGAGGAAGAGAGAGAGAGUCCAGUAACCCUGAGAACCAUUCUAACCGAUAAAGCAACCUCGACGAGCGGUACCUUGGUGGAUUCGACGUGGAUACACAUCGUGAAGGUUAGGCUGGGUCAACCGAAACGCCAGACACGACGACGAUACGGAAUGGACGCACGCGAGAAGCCGCAGCCUACGGAAGAAAAUCUCUUUCUCUUUCUCUCUCUCUAUCUUUCUCUCUCUUUUUAUCUAUCUCUCUAUCUAUCUAUCUAUCUAUCUAUGUAUAUGUAUAUCUAUCUAUCUUUCUCGUUCACUUUCGUGUGUUUAUUAGUUAAGUCGAGAGAGAGGUUUAUUAGGUAGAGAGAGAGAGAGAGAGAGAGAGAGAGAGAAAGAGAGAGUAUAACGAGGGAGGAGCUUUUAUAUAUACAUACAUAUACACAUAUAUAUAUAUGUGUGUGUGUGUAUAGGUAUGUACUAUAUACUAAUCCUUCAGCUUCCAUCGGUCGACCUCCAAAGGUCUCGUCGGCGUCAUGAACCUACCAUUUUAAUCGUAUUUAAAUCUUUCUGUCCUCUUCUAAUUGGCCACUCAAAAGUAAUGACUGAGAGAGACAUAUAUAUAUAUAUAUAUAUAGAAGUUGGCUGAAUUGUAAAACUACAAGCAAGGUUUGUUAAAUUGUUAAAAGCUGAAAAGAAUAAAAACGAAAUAAAAAAAAAAAUAUAUAUAUAUACCAAACAAAAAAAAAUUGUACGAAACGCAAAUCCCCAAUAUGACGAAUCAAACGAAUGAGAAAAUAUUUCUCAUUCGUUUUUCCCUUUUCUACUCUUUUUGUUCUUUUUUUUUUUUCUUUUUUUUUUUUCCCCCCGUUUAAUGUCGUAUCCCGUGGACGUAGCUUUGAUCGUUUUUACGACGCCGGAAUGAAAUUAAUAUGAUAUGAAUGACGUGCGCUCUUUGGUAAUGUUUAUUUUGCGGAUAGACAGACAGAGAAAGAGAAAGAGAAAAAGAGAGAGAGAGUGAGAGAGACAGAUAGAAAGAGUUAUAAUCAUCAGCAUCUUCUUAAUA
This is a long non-coding RNA of Vespa crabro (European hornet), 1616 nucleotides long. RefSeq lists it as uncharacterized. Lineage: Eukaryota; Metazoa; Arthropoda; Insecta; Hymenoptera; Vespidae. The record is from RefSeq and is a predicted model, not a curated record. The transcript has 3 exons.